Long non-coding RNA from Acanthopagrus latus (yellowfin seabream), 440 nucleotides. RefSeq lists it as uncharacterized. The transcript is spliced from 3 exons. The record is from RefSeq and is a predicted model, not a curated record. Lineage: Eukaryota; Metazoa; Chordata; Actinopteri; Spariformes; Sparidae.
CAAGAUUUGAAUCUGGAGUGUCCUCACCCAGACUCUUCCUGAAGUGAAGCAUGCACCUACCCCACUGGAACUUAGUGUUAAAACACCAGCCCACCUCACUUGACUCUUUUGAAAGUAUAUGUGUGCUUGUGGGCGUGGUGUCAUCACUGCAGCGGACAGAUUCACCUGUGUACCAUCAACUCAUCAACUGCCUUUACAUAACCCUGGUCCUCACCUAUUUUCGGUGCCAGAUUGUUCUGUCUAACCGGUGACUCUCCAGCUCUACUCAAGUGUCUCCUCCAGAGCUCACCAGCUCCAGCAGCUAUCUGAUCCAUCAGUCCAGUUAACCACACAGCAAGACAUAUUAUUCUUCAGGUAUUUGCAUUAACAGUUCCCUAAAAGGCAGCAACACCACUAACACUGGAAUUAGCUGAGGAGACAGCUCGCAGCUAGCUGUUACU